GCUAGUCGCACGAGUUCAGACUCGUGGCGAAUAGCUCAGUAACACGUGGCCAAACUACCCUUCGGAACACAAUACCCUCGGGAAACUGAGGCUAAUGGUGUAUACCAUACCACCACUGGAAUGAGUGGUAUGUCAAACGCUCCGGCGCCGAAGGAUGUGGCUGCGGCCGAUUAGGUAGACGGUGGGGUAACGGCCCACCGUGCCAAUAAUCGGUACGGGUCAUGAGAGUGAGAACCCGGAGACGGAAUCUGAGACAAGAUUCCGGGCCCUACGGGGCGCAGCAGGCGCGAAACCUUUACACUGCACGACAGUGCGAUAGGGGGAUCCCAAGUGCACAGGCAUAGCGCCUGUGCUUUUCGGUACCGUAAGGUGGUACCAGAAUAAGGGCUGGGCAAGACCGGUGCCAGCCGCCGCGGUAAUACCGGCAGCCCAAGUGAUGGCCGAUCUUAUUGGGCCUAAAGCGUCCGUAGCUGGCCGCGCAAGUCCAUCGGGAAAUCCACCUGCUCAACAGGUGGGCGCCCGGUAGAAACUGCGUGGCUUGGGACCGGAAGGCGCGACGGGUACGUCCGGGGUAGGAGUGAAAUCCCGUAAUCCUGGACGGACCGCCGAUGGCGAAAGCACGUCGCGAGAACGGAUCCGACAGUGAGGGACGAAAGCCAGGGUCUCGAACCGGAUUAGAUACCCGGGUAGUCCUGGCCGUAAACAAUGUCUGCUAGGUGUGGCUCCCACUACGAGUGGGUGCUGUGCCGUAGGGAAGCCGCUAAGCAGACCGCCUGGGAAGUACGUCCGCAAGGAUGAAACUUAAAGGAAUUGGCGGGGGAGCACUACAACCGGAGGAGCCUGCGGUUUAAUUGGACUCAACGCCGGACAUCUCACCAGCAUCGACUGUAAUAAUGACGACCAGGUUGAUGACCUUGUCCGAGUUUCAGAGAGGAGGUGCAUGGGCCGCCGUCAGCUCGUACCGUG
Molecule: ribosomal RNA, 966 nt
Filed under: Halorubrum xinjiangense
Lineage: Archaea; Methanobacteriati; Methanobacteriota; Halobacteria; Halobacteriales; Haloferacaceae
Description: bacterial SSU rRNA
Rfam family: Archaeal small subunit ribosomal RNA
Source: RNAcentral